Macaca fascicularis (crab-eating macaque) is the source of this 1824-nucleotide long non-coding RNA. Lineage: Eukaryota; Metazoa; Chordata; Mammalia; Primates; Cercopithecidae. The record is from Ensembl.
CAAGAGAGAUGUAAAGCUACAGGCAUGGGGGAGGCAUGCAGUCAGCAAUGACUCCUCAGUCUUCUGGUUUUUUUCUCUCCUCCUCUUACUAACACUGGCAUUCUUGUUACUACUGCUGCUGUUUUGAUUGUUCUUGCUAUUAUUAUUUUUAUCUUUGGCCCUGUAAGAAUGUAACAUUAGAAGAGACAAUAGGAAUAAAAAUACGAUACUAAAGCCCAUGCGAUAAGACAAUAUACACAAUAAGAAAAACACUAUAGGUGGUUCCCCCAACCCUAAAUAAAUAGAGCAGGCAGUAGAAGUCAGCGUCACUUCCCAAGCUAGGAGAGUAACUGCUGUGGCUGCUGUUUCCGGGGCCUGGUCAAGCCAUUGGAGCUUUGAAACAGUGCUAGUCUUCUGUUUCCAAGUAGAUACUCAUGCAAAGUUUGUAUUCCCACCUUUCUCCUGGAGGACAGGGAUGGGUUGAUUUUUAUUCAGUUUUAUUCCUCACAUUCAUCAUAAUAGUCAAUAAGCAUGUAUUUAAGAAUUAAUGAACGAAAGAACAAAUAGAUAAAUGGAAAGUUAUGAUGUCAUAUAUCUGAAUGAACAUUUGCUCCUUUCCAAGGCAAGCUGUUUCAAGUUGAAAUCAUAAAUUGUAAAUGACCAAGAUACUCCAUUAUGGAAAAAUAUGAAAAGUAUUUGCACAAGUAGGGAAUGUGUCACACGCAGCUUGCUGCAGUCCCUGAACAGCGGGUGAGCUUAUGAAGUGCGAGGAAAAACUGAUCCCAAAGAGGGAUUCCACGAGGAGGGUGGCCUCUAACCAAGACAACAGCAGGCCGAUGUGGGCAUCAUCUUUUAGGGAGGCUGAGUGGGAAAGGGCUGAUUGUAGCUUCCAAACAGCAGUGAAAUGUGUCUUUAAUUUUCAGUUACAGCCCAGAGAGGUAAAUGCUACUUUCAGCCAUCUCAUGCUUUCUCAUAGGGGCAAAUCAAAAGCCUGGAGUAACCAAGCCCAGGUUACAGCUGGAAAUGGUCUCUCUCAGUAGGAGUCAAGACCCACAGACCCUCCAUAGUCUUCAUUCAUUUGAGUCUUGGGCCUAGAACUUUAAACCACAACAUGGAACUCCCAAGCCUUCCUAAAUGAGUAAAAUCAUCCCAAUAGGCAGGAACACUAGCCCUGGCUGCCACAGGAAUGACUGGAAACAAAGCAUGAUUUAGUCACAGGAAGGUGUUUCUCAAGAGAGAAACCUCAAGACCGCUCUUAUUUCUUUAGAUAAAGCAUUAUGCACAAAAACCAAGAAUAUCAGCAACUUUCUCAUCUAUUCAUUUCACUAAUCACUAAUUCUUUUUUGCUUGUUUGUUUUUAUUUUUGAGAUGGAGCCUCACUCUGUUGCCCACGCUAGAGUCCAGUGGUGCAACAUCGGCUCACUGCAAGCUCAGCCUCCUGGGUUCACACCAUUCUCCUGCCUUAGCCUCCAAAGUAGCUGGGCUACAGGCGCCGCCACCACGCCUGGCUAAUUUUUGUAUUUUUGGAAAGACAGAGUUUCACUGUGUUAGCCAGGAUGGUCUCGAUCUCCUGACCUCCUGAUCUGCCUGCCUCAGCCUCCCAAAGUGCUGGGAUUACAGGUGUGAGCCACCAUGCCUGGCCAUUUUCUUUAUUCUUAAAUAUGAUUCUUUGAAUGACCCCAUCUAACUGAACUACUUUUUAUUUACAAAUUUACUUUGAAUAUGUUUUCAUCUUUCAAGGGCUUUCUAUAUAGCCUGAAACAUUGCUUUGAACUGAAUUUGUCUUUGAUUAAUGAACUGUCUUCACAGUUGUUCUGAGUUGCCUGCCAAAAAAAAAAAAAAAAA